RNAcentral lists this ribosomal RNA (245 nucleotides) under uncultured bacterium. RNAcentral describes it as "partial 16S ribosomal RNA". It matches the Rfam family "Bacterial small subunit ribosomal RNA", at positions 524 to 768 of the family's 1533-position model. The record is from RNAcentral.
CACGUAGGGCGCGAGCGUUGUCCGGAAUUAUUGGGCGUAAAGAGCUCGUAGGUGGUCCGCCGCGUCUGCUGUGAAAAUCCAGGGCUUAACCCUGGACUUGCAGUGGAUACGGGCGAACUAGAGGUAGGUAGGGGAGAAUGGAAUUCCCGGUGUAGCGGUGAAAUGCGCAGAUAUCGGGAGGAACACCGGUGGCGAAGGCGGUUCUCUGGGCCUUACCUGACACUGAGGAGCGAAAGCGUGGGGAG